CGUGGCGCCGCCGGUGGUGCCGCGCCGCGACGAGCCCACCCCGGAGCGGGAGGUGGAGCCGCGGGCGGACGGUGACGGCAGCGAGCUGGCGCAGAGUCCGCGCGACGAGCCGCCACCUCCGUCUCUGUACCGACGGGAGCCGACCCCUGACUCGGAGCCGCUGUACCGCCGGGAGCCGACCCCCGAGUCGAAGCCGCUGUACCGCCGGGAGCCAACCCCUGACUCAGAGCCGCUGUACCGCCGGGAGCCGACCUCCGAGUCGAAACCGGAGCCAGAACCAGAACCGGAACCAGAACCAGAGUCCGGGCAGGAGCAGGCCGCGUUCCACAGCGUACUGGAGCAGCCCACGGAGGUGGACAUCAAGACCGGUUUCGACUUUCUGGACAACUGGUAGUCGGCCGCCUGCGGCAGCGGAGGAAAGGAGGGAUGUGCGGCGUCUGCCGGCCCCUGGACGUCUCAGCCGGCCGUCCCGGCCCGGGCGGCGCCUACACCCCUGCUAGUUGCUGUGCCAUGUAUCCAGUCUCAACUGCCGGGUCAGGAGCCCGAGAGCUCAUCAACAAAAACCCGGGCCGAACUGCAGCAGUCUGCCCUGUGCUCUGAUGAUGCAGUCGCCAGACAGCCUGCUGCCGGUGUGUACAGCCCAAGGCGCCUAGCUAGGCCUAAGGCGUCGAUAAACAUUCUGCAAUCGCAAGUGUGGAAGAAACUCAUCUUGAACUUAGCACAUACGAGACGCUCCGGCCUCGGCCUGGAAGCGGCUGCCAUAUCGCAUCGUGCCACUCUGCCCCGCCAGUGUGGCGUUAUAACACAGAGGGCCGAAUCUCACUGCGCGACUGCCCGCCUGCUGGGUCUGCCAUCGCAUCGAAGCUGGUCCGCGACCAUCGCUGUGAAUAGCCGACCGCGCCGCGCACUGGACCGCUCGCCGCGUGCGCGCGAGCCGGGGCCUUGGCCCGCGCGAGCGGGGCCGGUCACCCGGGGUCGUGUCCAGGCGGGCCGGGGCCUCGGCCCGCCCGAGCGAGGCCGGUCGCCCAGGGUCGUGCUUGCGUUUGCAAGCUGGGGACCCGGCCCGCGUUAGCGAGGCCGAUCGCCCGGGGUCGUGUCCGCGCGGUCCGCGCGCUGCAUGCCGUGUGUGGUUGUCGUGUCGUGUCGUGUGCGUGUCCCGACGCCGGUCCGUUUUCUACAUUUGUACGCCACGCUGGCGGCGCGCCAGUUUUCAGUAGCCGGGCGCGCCGCCGAGUAACCGGUAGUGUGUAGUCAGCUCGGGAGCCUGCAGCGGGCGGCGGCCGGCGCGGCAGCAGAGGCUUUACUAACUGCGGAGAAACGGUCUAGUCAACGAGCUUGAGCGGCGACCGUGGUCGCCUGGGGCAUUACGGGACCGGAACUCCGCCGCUCUCGGCACGGGGCCUUGCCUUUCGGCUGCUGGUGGACCUAGUCCGGCGGCGCGAGCAUUUCGUACCGCGCCGCCUCGGGCCAUAUUUUGGUUAUUUUUGUACAUUGUCUAUCAGUCCAGUCAUCAAUAAAUGUUUGCUAUGGUUU
Pollicipes pollicipes is the source of this 1533-nucleotide long non-coding RNA. RefSeq lists it as uncharacterized. The transcript is spliced from 2 exons. NCBI's taxonomy places the organism in Eukaryota, Metazoa, Arthropoda, Thecostraca, Pollicipedomorpha, Pollicipedidae. The record is from RefSeq and is a predicted model, not a curated record.